GCCUCAGUAGCCCAGUGGUAGAGCGUUUGCCUAGUAUCGCCAGCAAAAGGUCCAGUGUUCGACUCACUGUUGAGGCA
RNAcentral lists this transfer RNA (77 nucleotides) under Puccinia sorghi. It matches the Rfam family "tRNA". Rfam says of the family: Transfer RNA (tRNA) molecules are approximately 80 nucleotides in length. Their secondary structure includes four short double-helical elements and three loops (D, anti-codon, and T loops). The record is from Rfam by way of RNAcentral. Lineage: Eukaryota; Fungi; Basidiomycota; Pucciniomycetes; Pucciniales; Pucciniaceae.